This 460-nucleotide ribosomal RNA is filed under the name uncultured bacterium. RNAcentral describes it as "partial 16S ribosomal RNA". It matches the Rfam family "Bacterial small subunit ribosomal RNA", at positions 338 to 795 of the family's 1533-position model. The record is from RNAcentral.
CCUACGGGAGGCAGCAGUGAGGAAUAUUGGUCAAUGGACGCAAGUCUGAACCAGCCAUGCCGCGUGCAGGAAGACGGCUCUAUGAGUUGUAAACUGCUUUUGUACGAGGGUAAAUCCCGAUACGUGUAUCGGGUUUAAAGUAUCGUACGAAUAAGGCUCGGCUAACUCCGUGCCAGCAGCCGCGGUAAUACGGAGGAUUCAAGCGUUAUCCGGAUUUAUUGGGUUGAAAGGGUGCGUAGGCGGUUCGAUAAGUUAGAGGUGAAAGCCCGGGGCUCAACUCCGGCACUGCCUCUGAUACUGUCGGGCUAGAGUUUAGUUGCGGUAGGCGGAAUGUAUGGUGUAGCGGUGAAAUGCAUAGAGAUCAUACAGAACACCGAUUGCGAAGGCAGCUUACCAAACUACGACUGACGUUGAGGCACGAAAGCGUGGGGAGCAAACAGGAUUAGAUACCCUAGUAGUC